RNAcentral lists this ribosomal RNA (199 nucleotides) under uncultured bacterium. RNAcentral describes it as "partial 16S ribosomal RNA". It matches the Rfam family "Bacterial small subunit ribosomal RNA", at positions 328 to 539 of the family's 1533-position model. The record is from RNAcentral.
ACGCUCGACACCUACGGGAGGCAGCAGUUGGGAAUAUUGGACAAUGGAGGAAACUCUGAUCCAGUGACGCCGCGUGAAGGAAGAAGGUCUUCGGGAUUGUAAACUUAUUUUGUCAGGGAGAAAAAUGACUGUACCUGAAGAAAAAGCACCGGCUAACUACGUGCCAGCAGCCACGGUAAUCUGAGCGGGCUGGCAAGGC